UUAAGUUAUUAAGGGCGCACGGUGGAUGCCUUGGCACUAGAAGCCGAUGAAGGACGUUACUAACGACGAUAUGCUUUGGGGAGCUGUAAGUAAGCUUUGAUCCAGAGAUUUCCGAAUGGGGAAACCCAGCAUGAGUUAUGUCAUGUUAUCGAUAUGUGAAUACAUAGCAUAUCAGAAGGCACACCCGGAGAACUGAAACAUCUUAGUACCCGGAGGAAGAGAAAGAAAAUUCGAUUCCCUUAGUAGCGGCGAGCGAAACGGGAAGAGCCCAAACCAACAAGCUUGCUUGUUGGGGUUGUAGGACACUCUAUAUGGAGUUACAAAGGACGACAUUAGACGAAUCAUCUGGAAAGAUGAAUCAAAGAAGGUAAUAAUCCUGUAGUCGAAAAUGUUGUCUCUCUUGAGUGGAUCCUGAGUACGACGGAGCACGUGAAAUUCCGUCGGAAUCUGGGAGGACCAUCUCCUAAGGCUAAAUACUCUCUAGUGACCGAUAGUGAACCAGUACCGUGAGGGAAAGGUGAAAAGCACCCCGGAAGGGGAGUGAAAUAGAACCUGAAACCGUGUGCUUACAAGUAGUCAGAGCCCGUUAAUGGGUGAUGGCGUGCCUUUUGUAGAAUGAACCGGCGAGUUACGAUUUGAUGCAAGGUUAAGCAGUAAAUGUGGAGCCGUAGCGAAAGCGAGUCUGAAUAGGGCGUUUAGUAUUUGGUCGUAGACCCGAAACCAGGUGAUCUACCCUUGGUCAGGUUGAAGUUCAGGUAACACUGAAUGGAGGACCGAACCGACUUACGUUGAAAAGUGAGCGGAUGAACUGAGGGUAGCGGAGAAAUUCCAAUCGAACCUGGAGAUAGCUGGUUCUCUCCGAAAUAGCUUUAGGGCUAGCCUCAAGUGAUGAUUAUUGGAGGUAGAGCACUGUUUGGACGAGGGGCCCCUCUCGGGUUACCGAAUUCAGACAAACUCCGAAUGCCAAUUAAUUUAACUUGGGAGUCAGAACAUGGGUGAUAAGGUCCGUGUUCGAAAGGGAAACAGCCCAGACCACCAGCUAAGGUCCCAAAAUAUAUGUUAAGUGGAAAAGGAUGUGACGUUGCCCAGACAACUAGGAUGUUGGCUUAGAAGCAGCCAUCAUUUAAAGAGUGCGUAAUAGCUCACUAGUCGAGUGACACUGCGCCGAAAAUGUACCGGGGCUAAACAUAUUACCGAAGCUGUGGAUUGUCCUUUGGACAAUGGUAGGAGAGCGUUCUAAGGGCGUUGAAGCAUGAUCGUAAGGACAUGUGGAGCGCUUAGAAGUGAGAAUGCCGGUGUGAGUAGCGAAAGACGGGUGAGAAUCCCGUCCACCGAUUGACUAAGGUUUCCAGAGGAAGGCUCGUCCGCUCUGGGUUAGUCGGGUCCUAAGCUGAGGCCGACAGGCGUAGGCGAUGGAUAACAGGUUGAUAUUCCUGUACCACCUAUAAUCGUUUUAAUCGAUGGGGGGACGCAGUAGGAUAGGCGAAGCGUGCGAUUGGAUUGCACGUCUAAGCAGUAAGGCUGAGUAUUAGGCAAAUCCGGUACUCGUUAAGGCUGAGCUGUGAUGGGGAGAAGACAUUGUGUCUUCGAGUCGUUGAUUUCACACUGCCGAGAAAAGCCUCUAGAUAGAAAAUAGGUGCCCGUACCGCAAACCGACACAGGUAGUCAAGAUGAGAAUUCUAAGGUGAGCGAGCGAACUCUCGUUAAGGAACUCGGCAAAAUGACCCCGUAACUUCGGGAGAAGGGGUGCUCUUUAGGGUUAACGCCCAGAAGAGCCGCAGUGAAUAGGCCCAAGCGACUGUUUAUCAAAAACACAGGUCUCUGCUAAACCGUAAGGUGAUGUAUAGGGGCUGACGCCUGCCCGGUGCUGGAAGGUUAAGAGGAGUGGUUAGCUUCUGCGAAGCUACGAAUCGAAGCCCCAGUAAACGGCGGCCGUAACUAUAACGGUCCUAAGGUAGCGAAAUUCCUUGUCGGGUAAGUUCCGACCCGCACGAAAGGCGUAACGAUUUGGGCACUGUCUCAACGAGAGACUCGGUGAAAUCAUAGUACCUGUGAAGAUGCAGGUUACCCGCGACAGGACGGAAAGACCCCGUGGAGCUUCACUGUAGCCUGAUAUUGAAAUUCGGCACAGCUUGUACAGGAUAGGUAGGAGCCUUUGAAACGUGAGCGCUAGCUUACGUGGAGGCGCUGGUGGGAUACUACCCUAGCUGUGUUGGCUUUCUAACCCGCACCACUCAUCGUGGUGGGAGACAGUGUCAGGCGGGCAGUUUGACUGGGGCGGUCGCCUCCUAAAAGGUAACGGAGGCGCUCAAAGGUUCCCUCAGAAUGGUUGGAAAUCAUUCAUAGAGUGUAAAGGCAUAAGGGAGCUUGACUGCGAGACCUACAAGUCGAGCAGGGUCGAAAGACGGACUUAGUGAUCCGGUGGUUCCGCAUGGAAGGGCCAUCGCUCAACGGAUAAAAGCUACCCCGGGGAUAACAGGCUUAUCUCCCCCAAGAGUUCACAUCGACGGGGAGGUUUGGCACCUCGAUGUCGGCUCAUCGCAUCCUGGGGCUGUAGUCGGUCCCAAGGGUUGGGCUGUUCGCCCAUUAAAGCGGUACGCGAGCUGGGUUCAGAACGUCGUGAGACAGUUCGGUCCCUAUCCGUCGUGGGCGUAGGAAAUUUGAGAGGAGCUGUCCUUAGUACGAGAGGACCGGGAUGGACAUACCUCUGGUGUACCAGUUGUCGUGCCAACGGCAUAGCUGGGUAGCUAUGUGUGGACGGGAUAAGUGCUGAAAGCAUCUAAGCAUGAAGCCCCCCUCAAGAUGAGAUUUCCCAACUUCGGUUAUAAGAUCCCUCAAAGAUGAUGAGGUUAAUAGGUUCGAGGUGGAAGCAUGGUGACAUGUGGAGCUGACGAAUACUAAUCGAUCGAAGACUUAAUCAA
RNAcentral lists this ribosomal RNA (2921 nucleotides) under Staphylococcus aureus. RNAcentral's name for it is "bacterial LSU rRNA". It matches the Rfam family "Bacterial large subunit ribosomal RNA". Lineage: Bacteria; Bacillati; Bacillota; Bacilli; Caryophanales; Staphylococcaceae. The record is from RNAcentral.